GACAUUCAUACCCAUUCCUGGAGAAGCCAUGAGGAUCCUGGACACCACAACCUGAGAGAUAGCCUGCUGUGCAGCUUUCGUCGACUCGCCUAACCUGUUGUCAUUCUCAUCUGUUAUGGGAAUACCGUGUUGAAGUUCUCUGAAAGAGCAAAGCACGUGAAAUCAGAAUCAUGGGACAUUUUCACCAUUAGUGUUGUGACGUCUCGAGGUCAAAGCCAUUGUGUAUUGCAACGAUGACGCACUUUGAGUGUCGCACGGCCUCCUUACCUUUGUCUCAUCAGUGGGAUGUUGAUACAGUUAGCAGCAGCUACAGCAGCAAAUGGAACAAACCGACCAAUCAGGGGUGAGAUGUGCUACAGCAGGAGAGAGGAGGCAUAAAAACAAAAAGCUGAACUACUGGCAGACCAGGGACACACCAAAGCGCAUGCAGGAAUCUGCAGCAACAUGAUGAAACUCCACCUGAAAUUGCACCAAAGAUGGCUGCUGGAUUGACAAUAAAACCAAAAACUCUCGUUUGCUGGCGGCAGGAGGCGAGCUUUCUCUUUAAAUGUAAUUAAACUCCAUGGGAUUCUCACGAGAUGACAACAAAACACCCCCCUUCUUUGAGAUUGCCCAAUGACAAACUGUAUGGAUAUCACUGUACGGGUUUGAACGGAGCGAUUCCUGCUGUCAAACCCGUAAUAACAUUAAUAAAAUAGUUCAUAAAUGAA
Molecule: long non-coding RNA, 710 nt
Organism: Perca flavescens (yellow perch)
Lineage: Eukaryota; Metazoa; Chordata; Actinopteri; Perciformes; Percidae
Exons: 2
Source: RefSeq, a predicted model, not a curated record